RNAcentral lists this ribosomal RNA (459 nucleotides) under uncultured Weissella sp. RNAcentral's name for it is "partial 16S ribosomal RNA". It matches the Rfam family "Bacterial small subunit ribosomal RNA", at positions 341 to 792 of the family's 1533-position model. The record is from RNAcentral. Lineage: Bacteria; Bacillati; Bacillota; Bacilli; Lactobacillales; Lactobacillaceae.
ACGGAAGGCAGCAGUAGGGAAUCUUCCACAAUGGGCGGAAGCCUGAUGGAGCAACGCCGCGUGUGUGAUGAAGGGUUUCGGCUCGUAAAACACUGUUGUAAGAGAAGAAUGACAUUGAGAGUAACUGUUCAAUGUGUGACGGUAUCUUACCAGAAAGGAACGGCUAAAUACGUGCCAGCAGCCGCGGUAAUACGUAUGUUCCAAGCGUUAUCCGGAUUUAUUGGGCGUAAAGCGAGCGCAGACGGUUAUUUAAGUCUGAAGUGAAAGCCCUCAGCUCAACUGAGGAAUUGCUUUGGAAACUGGAUGACUUGAGUGCAGUAGAGGAAAGUGGAACUCCAUGUGUAGCGGUGAAAUGCGUAGAUAUAUGGAAGAACAUCAGUGGCGAAGGCGACUUUCUGGACUGUAACUGACGUUGAGGCUCGAAAGUGUGUGUGGCAAACAGGAUUAGAUACCCUGGUA